This 361-nucleotide ribosomal RNA is filed under the name uncultured bacterium. RNAcentral's name for it is "bacterial SSU rRNA". It matches the Rfam family "Bacterial small subunit ribosomal RNA", at positions 67 to 422 of the family's 1533-position model. The record is from RNAcentral.
CAGUUUUCUGUAGCAAUACAGGGAAUGGGCGCGUGGCGAACGGGUGCGUAACACGUGGAUAACCUUCCUUGAGGUGGGGAAUAACCCAGUGAAAAUUGGGCUAAUACCGCAUAACAUGACGAUGGCACAUGCUGUUGUCUUCAAAGGCGCAAGUCGCCACAAGAGGGAUCCGCGGCCGAUUAGCUUGUUGGCGAGGUAAUGGCUCACCAAGGCAAUGAUCGGUAGCCGGACUGAGAGGUUGGCCGGCCACACUGGAACUGAGACACGGUCCAGACUCCUACGGGAGGCAGCAGUGGGGAAUCUUGCACAAUGGGCGAAAGCCUGAUGCAGCAACGCCGCGUGGGGGAUGAAGCUUCUCGGA